UACGAGGGGGGCAAGCGUUGUUCGGAAUUACUGGGCGUAAAGCGCGCGCAGGCGGUUCUUCAAGUCAGGGGUGAAAGCCCGGAGCUCAACUCCGGAACUGCCAUUGAAACUGUAGAACUUGAGGAUGAGAGAGGUGAGUGGAAUUCCCAGUGUAGAGGUGAAAUUCGUAGAUAUUGGGAAGAACACCAGUGGCGAAGGCGGCUCACUGGCUCAUUUCUGACGCUCAGGUGCGACAGCGUGGGGAUCAAACAGG
This 253-nucleotide ribosomal RNA is filed under the name uncultured bacterium. Its description in RNAcentral is "partial 16S ribosomal RNA". It matches the Rfam family "Bacterial small subunit ribosomal RNA", at positions 524 to 776 of the family's 1533-position model. The record is from RNAcentral.